This 460-nucleotide ribosomal RNA is filed under the name uncultured bacterium. RNAcentral's name for it is "partial 16S ribosomal RNA". It matches the Rfam family "Bacterial small subunit ribosomal RNA", at positions 338 to 795 of the family's 1533-position model. The record is from RNAcentral.
CCUACUGGAGGCAGCAGUGAGGAAUAUUGGUCAAUGGGCGCUAGCCUGAACCAGCCAAGUAGCGUGAAGGAUGACUGCCCUACGGGUUGUAAACUUCUUUUAUAAAAGAAUAAAGUGAAGUAAGUAUACCUUUUUGUAUGUACUUUAUGAAUAAGGAUCGGCUAACUCCGUGCCAGCAGCCGCGGUAAUACGGAGGAUCCGAGCGUUAUCCGGAUUUAUUGGGUUUAAAGGGAGCGUAGAUGGGCUGUUAAGUCAGUUGUGAAAGUUUGCGGCUCAACCGUAAAAGUGCAAUUGAUACUGGCAGUCUUGAGUACAGUAGAGGUAGGCGGAAUUCGUGGUGUAGCGGUGAAAUGCUUAGAUAUCACGAAGAACUCCGAUUGCGAAGGCAGCUUACUAAACUGCAACUGACACUGAUGCUCGAAAGUGUGGGUAUCAAACAGGAUUAGAUACCCGAGUAGUC